Molecule: ribosomal RNA, 373 nt
Filed under: uncultured organism
Description: bacterial SSU rRNA
Rfam family: Bacterial small subunit ribosomal RNA
Source: RNAcentral
CGGGGGGGCAAGCAUUGUUCGGAAUUACUGGGCGUAAAGGGCUUGUAGGCGGCCAACUAAGUCCGACGUGAAAUCCCCAGGCUUAACCUGGGAACUGCGUCGGAUACUGGAUGGCUUGAAUCCGGGAGAGGGAUGCGGAAUUCCAGGUGUAGCGGUGAAAUGCGUAGAUAUCUGGAGGAACACCGGUGGCGAAGGCGGCAUCCUGGACCGGCAUUGACGCUGAAAAGCGAAAGCCAGGGGAGCAAAACGGGAUUAGGAUACCCCGGUAGUCCUGGCCCUAAACGAUGAAUGUUUGGUGUGGCGGGUAUCGAUCCCUGCCGUGCCGAAGCUAACGCAUUAAACAUUCCGCCUGGGGAGUACGGUCGCAAGGCUG